RNAcentral lists this ribosomal RNA (460 nucleotides) under uncultured bacterium. RNAcentral describes it as "partial 16S ribosomal RNA". It matches the Rfam family "Bacterial small subunit ribosomal RNA", at positions 338 to 795 of the family's 1533-position model. The record is from RNAcentral.
CCUACGGGAGGCAGCAGUGAGGAAUAUUGGUCAAUGGACGCAAGUCUGAACCAGCCAUGCCGCGUGCAGGAAGACGGCUCUAUGAGUUGUAAACUGCUUUUGUACGAGGGUAAACGCAGAUACGCGUAUCUGUCUGAAAGUAUCGUACGAAUAAGGAUCGGCUAACUCCGUGCCAGCAGCCGCGGUAAUACGGAGGAUUCAAGCGUUAUCCGGCUUUAUUGGGUUUAAAGGGUGCGUAGGCGGUCGGAUAAGUUAGAGGUGAAAUCCCGAGGCUCAACUUCGGAAUUGCCUCUGAUACUGGUCGGCGAGAGAGUAGUUGCGGGAGGCGGAAUGUAUGGUGUAGCGGUGAAAUGCUUAGAGAUCAUACAGAACACCGAUUGCGAAGGCAGCUUACCAAGCUACUUCUGACGUGGAGGCACGAAAGCGUGGGGAGCAAACAGGAUUAGAUACCCUUGUAGUC